This 362-nucleotide long non-coding RNA is filed under the name Homo sapiens (human). Its description in RNAcentral is "HSALNT0248953". Lineage: Eukaryota; Metazoa; Chordata; Mammalia; Primates; Hominidae. The record is from RNAcentral.
ACAUAUUACAUUAUUAUUACUAGACCAUGCCUCCAAGUGUGUCAAAUUAUAAAAAUGUGUUCAGCAUACAUAAAAUAUACAUUAAAGAUUUCUCUCAUCAUAGGCACAAUCUAAUACAAAAAUAUAUUUGACAUUUAUAAGUUAGAAGAUCCAUUGAGAGCCUCCAAAAUAGGACAGGGGAAGGAAUGAGUGAUGACAACAUAAAAAAAGAAGCACACAUAGAUGCAAAUAGUUCCACUUAUAUGAUUAUUUUCUUCAUCAGCAAAGGGUUAAGAGCAGUUUACACCAAACCAAGUUACCAAGCAGAUCACAAUCAGUUCACAGGUUGGAUAAGUCACGGCACGCAGGCCAGAAAAUGUACU